This 894-nucleotide ribosomal RNA is filed under the name uncultured bacterium. RNAcentral's name for it is "bacterial SSU rRNA". It matches the Rfam family "Bacterial small subunit ribosomal RNA", at positions 505 to 1398 of the family's 1533-position model. The record is from RNAcentral.
GUGCCAGCAGCCGCGGUAAUACGGAGGGUCCAAGCGUUAUCCGGAUUUAUUGGGUUUAAAGGGUGCGCAGGCGGAACUUUAAAGUCANUGGUGAAAUCUUNCCGCUUAACGGUAAAAUUGCCAUUGAUACUGAAGUUCUUGAAUGUAGUUGAGGUAGGCGGAAUGUGUUGUGUAGCGGUGAAAUGCAUAGAUAUGACACAGAACGCCAAUUGCGAAGGUAGCUUACUAAGCUACGAUUGACGYUGAGGCACGAAAGCGUGGGGAGCGAACAGGACUAGAUACCCUGGUAGUCCACGCCGUAAACGAUGAUCACUCGCUGUUUGCGAUACACAGUAAGCGGCUGAGCGAAAGCAUUAAGUGAUCCACCUGGGGAGUACGAUCGCAAGGUUGAAACUCAAAGGAAUUGACGGGGGCCCGCACAAGCGGAGGAACAUGUGGUUUAAUUCGAUGAUACGCGAGGAACCUUACCUGGGCUUAAAUGUAGAUUGCAUAGAUUGGAAACAGUCUUUCUCUUCGGAGCUAUUUACAAGGUGCUGCAUGGUUGUCGUCAGGCUCGUGCCGUGAGGUGUCGGGUUAAGUCCCAUAACGAGCGCAACUCCUAUCGUUAGUUUGCUAGCAGGUAAUGCUGAGGACUCUAGCGAGACUGCCACCGUAAGGKGGGAGGAAGGUGGGGGAUGACGUCAAAUCAGCACGGCCCUUAUGUCCAGGGCUACACACGUGUUACAAUGGUCGGUACAAAGGGCAGCUACACAGCGAUGUGAUGCCAAUCCCUAAAGCCGAUCCCAGUUCGGAUUGGAGUCUGCAACCCGACUCCAUGAAGUUGGAUUCGCUAGUAAUCGGAUAUCAGCCAUGAUCCGGUGAAUACGUUCCCGGGCCUUGCACACACCGCCCGUC